AACGAACGCUGGCGGCAGGCCUAACACAUGCAAGUCGAGCGAGAUCUUCGGAUCUAGCGGCGGACGGGUGAGUAACGCGUGGGAAUAUGCCCUUCGGUUCGGAAUAGCCCCGGGAAACUGGGAGUAAUACCGGAUACGGUCUACGGACGAAAGAUUUAUCGCCGAAGGAUUAGCCCGCGUUGGAUUAGGUAGUUGGUGGGGGUAAUGGCCUACCAAGCCGACGAUCCAUAGCUGGUUUGAGAGGAUGAUCAGCCACACUGGGACUGAGACACGGCCCAGACUCCUACGGGAGGCAGCAGUGGGGAAUCUUAGACAAUGGGGGAAACCCUGAUCUAGCCAUGCCGCGUGAUCGAUGAAGGCCUUAGGGUUGUAAAGAUCUUUCAGUGGGGAAGAUAAUGACGGUACCCACAGAAGAAGCCCCGGCUAACUCCGUG
RNAcentral lists this ribosomal RNA (434 nucleotides) under uncultured bacterium. RNAcentral's name for it is "bacterial SSU rRNA". It matches the Rfam family "Bacterial small subunit ribosomal RNA", at positions 29 to 507 of the family's 1533-position model. The record is from RNAcentral.